CGAGACUUUACGCAGUAAUAUUUUUUAAAGUAGUUUUUUUUAUAAAUAAUUAAACAUAAAUAGGCCAUUUUUUCUUAGUUCUGCUUCCAGCCCGGUAAAUACACGGACCGGCUCUGCUUACCUUGAUCAAACGUCUUCCUGGUGUCACUCCACAGAUCCAGAGAAGCACCCUAUAUUCCUAUGCAUGUGAUCGUCCUCAUCGAGAUGCAAAUCAAUUCUCUUUUUUUUUAAUCAUGAGAAACCAGUAAUCUUAAUUUUUAUGUUUAUUAUUAAUCCCUUUAAUCUUAGUUUUUAUGUUUAUUAUUAAUCCCUUCAAGAUAACAUUAAUGAGAGUGUCCUAAUAUAUUUAUUUUAAUUUUUAACGGUAACCAGCAGAACAUUUAUUAAAUAUUGUAUAGUAUUUUUUCCACAGAAUAUUUUUAAAAUAGUAUAUAAAGUUUUUUUUUUUGGGUCUAAAUGUUAAGAAUAGUAGUAGUAGUAGUAGUAUAUAAAGUUCCGUACUAAUACCCUUAAUUCAUUUAAAUGGAAGAAAAUAAUAAUAUAAUUUAUUA
This 551-nucleotide long non-coding RNA is filed under the name Brassica napus (rape). RNAcentral describes it as "long non-coding RNA (BNAP_LNC007389)". Lineage: Eukaryota; Viridiplantae; Streptophyta; Magnoliopsida; Brassicales; Brassicaceae. The record is from RNAcentral.